AAAGCCUCCUUCCCAUUCCCGUCUCCUCCCCAGUCAGGUGCUGAGGAGUAUGGGCUGACUGUGCCCUCAGAUAUGUCUAACUUGGGGGUGGUUCUUGGCUCCCUCUUUUUGGAAUUAAGGAAGUGCAAGGAGACCGGGCAUGAGCACACCAACCCCUGAAUUCCCUUCCUGACCUCUGCCUCCUCCCAGGCCUCCUGUGUCCCUGGAGGCGCUGCUGAUGGGGCAGGGGUUUCUUGGUCACUGCGGGAGGAGACUGAGGAGGUGAGUCUACUCAUCUGGUCCCUGAUUCCUGUCAUAUCGGCCCCCAGCGGUGCCUGCUUCCUGCCUGCUUCCUUCUCUGCAUCCCCCUCCACAUUUCUCUUCCUAGCUGCUUGAUUCCUGGACCUUCAGGAUUUCAAGAAGAUGCCGCUACCUGGGAAGCCCCUGGGACUUUUUAACAGAAACUUACCCGAUUGGAGCAUGACUUAAAGAGACCAGAAAGGGAAGUACCUACUUUAUGGUUGGCACAAUGCCAGGGGCUUCACAUUCGUUAACUCAUUAGCUCAUUUGAUCCUCACAAGAACCCUAUUCUUCUUCUUCAUUAACAGAAGAAAUGGGGGCUUGAGAAGGCCUAAGCAACUUGCUCAAGGUCGUGUGGUAUAAGAGGCAGAGGUGAACUUUGAUAUCAGGAUUGUAGGACUCAAGGUCUGUACUGGAUCCGCUGUUUGGAGACAGAAACAGAAAAAGUUUGCCUACCCUGCUCUGCAAGCCUGUCUGCACCUCGCUCAGUUUCCUCAUCUAUGAAAUGCGAGGCCUGAGUUAGAUGCCACAAAGGAGUGAAGUGCUGGUCUCACUCUGUCACCCCAGCUGGAGUUCCUUAAAACUCAUUGAGUGACCUCCCUGGGCCGGUUGGAAACAAGCUGUUCUCCCCGCGGGUGUCCAGGCCCUUGCCAAGGUAUCUCAGGUUUGCCAUCACUGGGCAUGGGGGUGCUUCAAGGGAAUGGGACCCAGGAUCCACCCCUUGUUGGAUUAACAUGUUCACAGAAAGGGAGAUGAGUGAAUCUUACCAGAUGGGGCUGCCUGGUCUGGGGAUAGUUGCUCGUCUGACCCAGGCAUGGUGUUUGGGAAGCCGCUGGACAAUAUUCUACUAUGGCUGCGUGCAUGUUUCUGGAAGGAAUCAAUGAAUGAUCCAAAAGUCUGUUCCACUGAACUUGCAUUUGAUGGCGGGUGUGGUUCCUCCUGUAGGAAUUCACCCCACUUUAAGACCAGAUGAUGCAAACGCAGGCAGUAAGAGCCGCGGAUGCCUCCCAUCCCCUUCCACUGGCUGUUAGCAUCGCUGCCCGGACACUGCAAACACCAGCCCAUAGAGGGCUGCCCUUUCUGUGAACGUGUUGUCUUUCCUGCUCACCUCUGCCCCGAGGGACGGGGAGGGUAAUUAUCUGCCGUGGUGUCAGAACUUUUAUUUCUUGCUGCUGCUGGGCUUCCGCCACAG
Molecule: long non-coding RNA, 1471 nt
Filed under: Homo sapiens (human)
Lineage: Eukaryota; Metazoa; Chordata; Mammalia; Primates; Hominidae
Description: HSALNT0182114
Source: RNAcentral